CGCAUCUGUGCAUGCAGCAUAUCAAUAAGCGGAGGAAAAGAAACUAACAAGGAUUCCCUUAGUAACGGCGAGUGAAGCGGGAAGAGCUCAAAUUUGAAAUCUUCAAGGUUUUACCUUGACGAAUUGUAGUUUAAAGAAGUGUUUUCUGUUGAAGUUUUGGUAAAAGUUCUUUGGAAUAGGACAUCAUAGAGGGUGAGAAUCCCGUAUUUGACCAUUAUUUUCAGCUGUGUGAUACACUUUCAAAGAGUCGGAUUGUUUGGGAAUGCAGUCCAAAAUGGGUGGUAAAUUUCAUCUAAAGCUAAAUAUUGGCGAGAGACCGAUAGCGAACAAGUACCGUGAGGGAAAGAUGAAAAGAACUUUGAAAAGAGAGUUAAACAGUACGUGAAAUUGUCAAAAGGGAAGCGUUUGACACCAGUGCUGUUUUCUCGAAAAUCAAUUAAAAAGAGUUAGAUUUUGUUGUGUAUUGACCUUAACAGCUUGCAUUUCAAUUUUCUUGCUUUUUUUAAUGCACUUUUCGUUUAACAAGUCAACAUCAGUUUCUUUUGUUGUAAAAAGGUCAUUGGAAGGUGGCUUUCUUCUCGGAGAAAGUGUUUAUAGCCUUUGACUCCUGCAAUCGGAGAGACUGAGGUCUGCAGCGUAGAUCCUUCGGGGUUAGAUACAUUUGUGCUAAGUUAUAGCUUUUUAUAGACAACUUGUUGACUAUGAUUAGUCUUGUAGCUUACUCGCUUAUGCUAUUUUACCUACGCUUAGGAUGUUGACACACGCGCGUGCUCG
RNAcentral lists this ribosomal RNA (774 nucleotides) under uncultured Neocallimastigales. RNAcentral's name for it is "partial large subunit ribosomal RNA". It matches the Rfam family "Eukaryotic large subunit ribosomal RNA", at positions 26 to 621 of the family's 3401-position model. The record is from RNAcentral. Lineage: Eukaryota; Fungi; Neocallimastigomycota; Neocallimastigomycetes; Neocallimastigales.